This 804-nucleotide ribosomal RNA is filed under the name uncultured bacterium. RNAcentral's name for it is "bacterial SSU rRNA". It matches the Rfam family "Bacterial small subunit ribosomal RNA", at positions 30 to 822 of the family's 1533-position model. The record is from RNAcentral.
AGGACGCUGGCGGCUGCUAACACAUGCAAGUCGAACGGUACGGGCCCGCAAGGGUGCGACGAGUGGCGGACGGGUGAGGAAUACAUCGGAAUUUGCCCAGUCGUGGGGGAUAACGUAGGGAAACUUACGCUAAUACCGCAUACGACCGAGAGGUGAAAGCGGGGGAUCUUCGGACCUCGCGCGAGUGGAUGAGCCGAUGUCGGAUUAGCUAGUUGGCGGGGUAAGGGCCCACCAAGGCGACGAUCCGUAGCUGGUCUGAGAGGAUGAUCAGCCACACUGGGACUGAGACACGGCCCAGACUCCUACGGGAGGCAGCAGUGGGGAAUAUUGGACAAUGGGGGCAACCCUGAUCCAGCAAUGCCGCGUGUGUGAAGAAGGCCUUCGGGUUGUAAAGCACUUUUAUCCGGAACGAAACGCGCCAGGUGAAUAGCUUGGGAACUGACGGUACCGGAGGAAUAAGCACCGGCUAACUUCGUGCCAGCAGCCGCGGUAAUACGAAGGGUGCAAGCGUAACUCGGAAUUACUGGGCGUAAAGGGUGCGUAGGCGGGUCCUUAAGUCAGGGGUGAAAUCCUGGAGCUCAAUCCAGAAAUGCCUUUGAUACUGAGGAUCUUGAGUUCGGGAGAGGUGAGUGGAAACUGCGAGUUGUACGAGGUGGAAUUUCGGUAAGAUUUCGCAGGAACACCAGGGGCGAAGGCGGGUCACUGGCCCGAUACUGACGCUUGAGGCACGAAAGCGUAGGGGAGCAAACAGGAUUAGAAUACCCUGGGUAGGUCCACAGCCGGUAAACGAUGAAUUGCCAGCCG